Molecule: ribosomal RNA, 373 nt
Filed under: uncultured organism
Description: partial 16S ribosomal RNA
Rfam family: Bacterial small subunit ribosomal RNA
Source: RNAcentral
GUAGGUGGCAAGCGUUGUCCGGAAUUAUUGGGCGUAAAGCGCGCGCAGGUGGUUCUUUAAGUCUGAUGUGAAAGCCCCCGGCUCAACCGGGGAGGGUCAUUGGAAACUGGGGAACGUUGAGUGCAGGAGAGGAAAGUGGAAUUCCACGUGUAGCGGUGAAAUGCGUAGAUAUGUGGAGGAACACCAGUGGCGAAGGCGACUUUCUGGCCUGUAACUGACACUGAGGCGCGAAAGCGUGGGGAGCAAACAGGGAUUAGAUACCCUGGUAGUCCACGCCGUAAACGAUGAGUGCUAAGUGUUGGGGGGGUUUCCCGCCCCUCAGUGCUGCAGCUAACGCAUUAAGCACUCGCCUGGGGAGUACGUCGCAAGACUG